AGGAAUGCCCAGGAAGUCGUGGAUCGUGUUGAGGAAGCCGUAGGGGUCAAGUCCUGAGGACUCGAGGAAGUUGAGCAGCUGCGGAAAAAAUGGAGAAGUGAGAACCUGCGUGAUGUAACAUCUCAUAGGUGUAUGAAGUGUCUAAUGGAGCGUUGCUUACAUCGUACAGCUCGGGCUGCUGGUCGACGUAGACGACGAUGCUCUCGAACUCGUCAGACAUGAGGUACUGGAGGGCGGCCUGCACCUCAGCGUCGUUGGCGACGUAGUUGAGGACGAUGUU
Long non-coding RNA from Schistocerca nitens (vagrant locust), 280 nucleotides. RefSeq lists it as uncharacterized. The record is from RefSeq and is a predicted model, not a curated record. Lineage: Eukaryota; Metazoa; Arthropoda; Insecta; Orthoptera; Acrididae. The transcript has 2 exons.